GAAGAUCUUCUUAAAGUAUAGCCCAAAGAAUGGAUAUGAUCCAAAAGUUUUUACCAAGAUCACGCCCAGUCAAUUACAAAAUUGCCUGAGUCGGCUGCUCGAAAGUGGUGGUCAUGUUUAUAUUGCCACGAGCAUGCCAAACUCAAGCAUCACAGUAACAGUUUCUUCUUCUCCCGACACAGGCAAUACCCGUGGAAGAGUUUGUCGAAUUCAUUCGGAGGAAAC
This 225-nucleotide long non-coding RNA is filed under the name Actinidia chinensis (golden kiwifruit). Its description in RNAcentral is "long non-coding RNA (ACHI_LNC001049)". Lineage: Eukaryota; Viridiplantae; Streptophyta; Magnoliopsida; Ericales; Actinidiaceae. The record is from RNAcentral.